RNAcentral lists this ribosomal RNA (501 nucleotides) under uncultured Acidobacteriaceae bacterium. Its description in RNAcentral is "bacterial SSU rRNA". It matches the Rfam family "Bacterial small subunit ribosomal RNA", at positions 8 to 491 of the family's 1533-position model. Lineage: Bacteria; Pseudomonadati; Acidobacteriota; Terriglobia; Terriglobales; Acidobacteriaceae. The record is from RNAcentral.
AGAGUUUGAUCAUGGCUCAGAAUCAACGCUGGCGGCGUGCCUAACACAUGCAAGUCGAACGCGAAAGUCCCGCAAGGGAUGAGUAGAGUGGCAAACGGGUGAGUAACGCGUGGGUGACCUGCCUUCGAGCGGGGGAUAACGUUUCGAAAGGGACGCUAAUACCGCAUGACAUCCUGCCUUUGAAGAGGUGGAGAUCAAAGCUGGGGAUCGCAAGACCUAGCGCUUGAAGAGGGGCCCGCGUCCGAUUAGCUAGUUGGUGGGGUAACGGCUCACCAAGGCAUCGAUCGGUAGCCGGCCUGAGAGGGCGGACGGCCACACUGGGACUGAGACACGGCCCAGACUCCUACGGGAGGCAGCAGUGGGGAAUUGUUCGCAAUGGGCGCAAGCCUGACGACGCAACGCCGCGUGGAGGAUGAAGAUCUUCGGGUCGUAAACUCCUUUCGAUCGAGACGAAUUCCCUUGGGGUGAAUAGUCCCGAGGGUGACGGUACCGAGAGAGAGC